Molecule: ribosomal RNA, 465 nt
Filed under: uncultured Klebsiella sp.
Lineage: Bacteria; Pseudomonadati; Pseudomonadota; Gammaproteobacteria; Enterobacterales; Enterobacteriaceae
Description: bacterial SSU rRNA
Rfam family: Bacterial small subunit ribosomal RNA
Source: RNAcentral
CCUACGGGCGGCUGCAGUGGGGAAUAUUGCACAAUGGGCGCAAGCCUGAUGCAGCCAUGCCGCGUGUGUGAAGAAGGCCUUCGGGUUGUAAAGCACUUUCAGCGGGGAGGAAGGCGGUGAGGUUAAUAACCUCAUCGAUUGACGUUACCCGCAGAAGAAGCACCGGCUAACUCCGUGCCAGCAGCCGCGGUAAUACGGAGGGUGCAAGCGUUAAUCGGAAUUACUGGGCGUAAAGCGCACGCAGGCGGUCUGUCAAGUCGGAUGUGAAAUCCCCGGGCUCAACCUGGGAACUGCAUUCGAAACUGGCAGGCUAGAGUCUUGUAGAGGGGGGUAGAAUUCCAGGUGUAGCGGUGAAAUGCGUAGAGAUCUGGAGGAAUACCGGAGGCGAAGGCGGCCCCCUGGACAAAGACUGACGCUCAGGUGCGAAAGCGUGGGGAGCAAACAGGAUUAGAUACCCUUGUAGUC